AAGUCGUAACAAGGUAACCGUAGGUGAACCUGCGGUUGGAUCAUUAAUAAAUCAUUAAGAAGAUGGUGUUAAAACACUUGUCUUUCUUUUUAACAACUUUUGUGAACUGUUUACUGUUUGUUUGGUAGGGCUUAUAGAGAAAUGAGGUUACUUAAAAAAUAAUUUCAUAUUUUUGAAAAUCCUUUUAAUUUUGGAUUUUUACCUACCAAUGUAUAAAUUUGAACUUUGUAGUAUUUAUUUUGUCUUGAAUUAAAAUUUAUUAUACUAAUUUUAAACAACUUUUGACAACGGAUCUCUAGGCUCUC
RNAcentral lists this unclassified non-coding RNA (305 nucleotides) under fungal sp. RNAcentral describes it as "partial internal transcribed spacer region". The stretch from base 1 to 46 matches the Rfam family "Eukaryotic small subunit ribosomal RNA", at positions 1786 to 1831 of the family's 1831-position model. Lineage: Eukaryota; Fungi. The record is from RNAcentral.